GCUGUUGUAAAGAGUUGUGAUAAUCAGGCUGUAAGGGACUCAUAAUCCGUCGGUCCCAGGUUCGAGUCCUGGUAACUGCACCA
This 83-nucleotide transfer RNA is filed under the name Gammaproteobacteria bacterium. Its description in RNAcentral is "tRNA-Ile". The record is from RNAcentral. Lineage: Bacteria; Pseudomonadati; Pseudomonadota; Gammaproteobacteria.